Molecule: long non-coding RNA, 2132 nt
Filed under: Marmota monax (woodchuck)
Lineage: Eukaryota; Metazoa; Chordata; Mammalia; Rodentia; Sciuridae
Source: RNAcentral
CUCCAGGCAGGCGUGGCACAGCCACCUCAGUCCUGGUUCAGCCUGCUGACCAUGAGGCCACCUGCCAGGGACACCCACAGAAGGCUCUAUCACUAGCACCUUGCCAGGGCUGCUCCCCAGGUUCUGGCCAAUCUUCAACCUCCUUUUCUGAAACUGGGUUCCUGUCCUCUCCCUGCCGUGGGAUGGCUACCCAGGAGGGAAAUCAAGGUGCAUCGAGGCACCAGUGGGGGGUGAGGACUCGCUGCCUCCAAUGGCAGAGGUUCAUUUACUAAAGCUGGAAGGUGAGGCUCGUGCCAGCCCCAAGACUCAGGUGGGCAGAGCAAAUCUCUCAUUUGGAAGCUGAUGGUUGUUUACUGGCGAGGCAGAGAACUGGCAGAGUCCCUAGCAGUUCCCGUCACCUUCUCCUGAGUCUCAGCGUGGGCUGCACAAACCCUUGGGCUGAUCUAUUUCAGGCCCCUUGGCGACGCUCUUGCCUGCAAACCAAUGGCAGAUUGUACAAGUUCCACUCGACAGGGAGGAAACUCACAGCCAGAACACAAACGAAAGGAACCACAGAUGAGGCCUGAGUGGCACCUGAGUUCGCAAUCACCCAAACAUCAGAGACCCCACGGCGCAUCCAUGUGACCCUUAGUAAGCACUGCAUGGUCACAAUGGCCACGAGCUCCUUGCAGGUGGUUAGAUGGAGCUGUUGCUAAGUGGUGACCUCCAAACCCUGUUAUGACUCAAGACCAGCACACCGGGUGCUACACAGGGCUUGGCUCUUCCUGUGGCCAUUUAUACACUGGGCACUAGCUGGUCUGUGCCAUCAGGAGCCCCGGGCUCCCACACUCACCUGUUUUCAGCCUUCUCUUGGCCAGUCCUGCAGUGAGGGAGUCCCGCCCAGGCUUCACUGUUACACAAGGCCCAGGUCACAGCAGAGAACUGUGGCACCCACUCCUGAGCUCAAUGUGGUACCAAUGUGUGAUCUCGUGCAUGGGGACAGCUGCCCACAGAUCAUUCUGCCCACAGAUCAAUCAAAGUGAGCCACAGCAGCCCCUGCAUAACCUACGAAAGCAGGGGGACCAGGGUGUGGAGCUUGGUUCACUCAAGCAUCCAGGGCCUGUCAUGGCCCUGGCACUGCACGUGACCGAACGUCCUCUAAUGACAGGAAAGGGCUUUGGGCUUCCAAGAGAAGAUGAGGAAGAAACAAAGUGUGGCUGAAAUGAGUCGAGGAGAGUGCGCAGCUCCCCUCGGGAGGUGGGGUGGGAACUGUGGAGAGCUGCAAGUAGAGGAGGCUCUGGACAUUGCCAGGUGUGGAAGUGACCCCCGAUCAGUCUUACCUGGCGCAUCCCGUCCAGCAGACGGCGGAGGACUGAGCGCUCUCACAGGGAUUUGCUGCAAUGAGGCCAACUCCUGGGAGAAGCCACUGUUCCUGAAGUGCUGUCCAUGCUGGGAAAGUGCCAGAAUGGGCUCAGUGAUGAGGCUGUCCCAACCACCAGUAGGAGCUUCUGUGGGAAGGAGGACUGCUGCCAGGGCGUCCUGAGGAGCAAACGCAUGCGCACACGGAACUGCUCCCCAGGCUGCGGGGAGGGCGGGGCGGGGAGGGGGCGCUUAUAAGAUGGCAGUGUCCCUGCACAGCGCUGUAGGACGUGGUCGGAGGCGAGAGCUGCUGUGGAGGAGUGCCUCAGCGCCAAGACAGGACUUUCUCCCCCGCCGCCUUACAGAGGGCCAGUCCUUCACCUCUUCCUGGUAGCGCCCCCACCCCUGUCCCCCGACCGGGGGCCCCACUUCCCGUGUUCCCACAGGGGCGCUCAGCAAAGGCACGUGCUGUGACAACAGGAAUGUGGGCAAACCGUGUCGCGUCUUCACCAGCUCAAAUGGGAAAACCGUCAUCACUGUGAGUUCGUUCCCAUGUGGCCCUUUCCUUGGGGCCAGGGGAACCUCGGGACUCUUGUGGAAGGAAGGGGACGGGGUCUGUGCGGGAACCGCAGACAUGCCGUGAGGACUUCUCGGACCCCCCUCACUCCCACAGCAUUUCAGAAACCACCAAGAACAGAACAAGGACAGAUCAGGAGAGGGAGGACGGCAGACCAGCAGAGAAUGCUAAGGGGCCAGCUUCGCGUACAGCCCACAGCCAUCUCCAUCAAAAGGCA